CACAGAUGGAGCAAUGCCGUGAAGAGGAUGCCCUGCAGACUCACUGCCCACCGGCUCCCUCCCCCGCAUCCCUGCAACCCCAGAGGCGAAGAUGGCCUCAGGAGUGCAAGUAGCUGAUGAAGUAUGUCGCAUUUUUUAUGACAUGAAAGUUCGUAAAUGCUCCACACCAGAAGAAAUCAAGAAAAGAAAGAAGGCUGUCAUUUUUUGUCUCGGUGCAGACGAAAAGUGCAUCAUUGUAGAAGAAGGCAAAGAGAUCUUGGUUGGAGAUGUUGGUGUAACCAUAACUGGUCCUUUCAAGCAUUUUGUGGGAAUGCUUCCUGAAAAAGAUUGUCGCUGUGCUUUGUAUGAUGCAAGCUUUGAAACAAAAGAAUCCAGUACAGAAGAGUUGAUUUUUUUUUUGUAGGCAUGAGAACUAGCACCUCUGAAAAGUAAAAUGAUCUGUGCAACAUCCAAGGAUGCAAUGAAAAAGAAAUUUCAAGGCAUUUUAUCAGUGUGUAG
This 498-nucleotide long non-coding RNA is filed under the name Homo sapiens (human). RNAcentral describes it as "non-protein coding lnc-TMEM70-4:2". Lineage: Eukaryota; Metazoa; Chordata; Mammalia; Primates; Hominidae. The record is from RNAcentral.